Molecule: non-coding RNA, 2096 nt
Organism: Pimephales promelas (fathead minnow)
Lineage: Eukaryota; Metazoa; Chordata; Actinopteri; Cypriniformes; Leuciscidae
Source: RefSeq, a predicted model, not a curated record
AGCACAUCAACACAGAUUCCUAAGCCAGCCAUCUCUGCUCCUAAUGGACAUGUUUAUGGGAAUAAUUUGGAACAGAUGAGGCCUAAACUUUGGAGGGAGGCAGAUGUCACGCUUUCUGGAAUUUACAUUUUCUGGAGUCAACAGCCAACCGAAGCUCUCUGGCUUUAGUUCUGUUCUUCUGCAGGCAAGCUGAGAUGCCUUGGAGGAGGCACCGAGGACCCUUAGAGCAGAGGCAGAUGAGAAGGAGGCCAAGCAGUCAUGUUUAAAGGUAAAAGUAAUCUGUCACCAGCUCUGUCAGCACUGACUUCACUUAUAACAACAUUAAAUGGGGGGGAUCUGAUCUCUGUCUGAUCUCUUAACUGUAUCUGUUGCUGAUAUAUUUUUUCAUUUCAUUUUUUUAAAUCCUAAGCUUUAUAUGUUUGCUUUGAGAUAUGCCAGCAAACUUGAAAAGCUGCAAUAUUUUUUUUUCUCACAGUGGUUAUCAGGUGAAUGUCUCGACAUUCAGUAAAUAUGUUUACAUUGCCACACGCAUCCUGAUGAUAUCAGUAAAUUUUGCCUUUGCAUUUUUACACAGUCUUACACCUUCUGCUGUCACAUCACGAAGGUAUAUGAUAGUGAUUUCACCCCGUUGCUCAUGUAUAAUUGGUUUAACUGAUUGUGUUUCAUCUCACCCCAUGUUACAGCACUCCCCCGGUUCUUGUGUGCAUAUGCAAAAGAGUUAAUGAGCCGCAAGGUCACAGCGCUGCCAUCUACGAGGCCAUCCGUCAUGUCGCCUUCACUGUUCCUCGCCUGCUCUGAUUGGCUGGGAGGAUUCAUGAGGCUUGUAUUGCAUUACAUCACUGUUAAUGCACCAAGAGUUAAUGAACUUGCUUGCUCUGUCACUCAGGCCAUCCACAGUCACUCUUCUAAUCAGCAACCACUUCUUAAUCAGCUAUGAGGUCGUCUGGAGGUGGACGAGUGAGUGCCCAAUUCGGACACAGACAUUGGUCAUUGGAAUGCCUUUUUCAUCAAUGCAUCGAUUUGAUGGCCCCGUUGUGUUCAUUCUUCUCUCAUGUACGGGAGUCAGCAUGAUAAUCUGGUUGCCUGUAACUUCAGUCAAGUUGAAGAGGUUCCAUCAAAGCUGAAAUCCAAUAUGGAGGUCGUUAAGUUUGCAGACAGAAGCGACAGCUCAGGCAGAGAUGGUCACCCCUUUCCCAGCAGCCUCUGCUUCUGCUCUCAUCAACUCCACUGGCCAUCGCUGACAAAAUGGGCUUAUUUGACUCCUCACCCCGUGGCACAGAUGAAUAAUUCACCUUGCCGCUGCACUGCUGGGGAGGCGCAGGCAGGUUUGCAUUUGACAGAGCGUGGACAGUGGAUUAUGGGAUUGCGCAGAGGUUCUCCACUUCCAGCCUGUCCGAGAAAGACGACUUCAAACUGCAGCUGGGUGCGUUGAAGCCCGGCUUUGGUAGAAGCAAUGCUGCUGGUGCUACAACAUGGAUCGUGUAUGGAAAAAAAGCAGAUCUAAGUACUAUAAAAGUAGUGUGAUACUCUUCAAGACGCACCUCUAGAUGUUGAAAACAUAGACAAAAGUCACAGCGACUGAUCCAGAUAGUCUGCUACACACUUAACAUGAACACUGUGUAACGUGGGGAAAACCUCGCAAGCUGUUUAUACUUCUACAGUAGGUUGGCACCUUAACUGUCAUGGAAACUCAUUAGUUGAUUUCAAACACUCUACAUAGGUAGCAUUUCCAUAUGCCAUAAAAAGUUUAAUUCGAUUUCAUUAGAGAUUGAUAUUAGCAUGUUACGCUAACAGAGCUGUAAUCAUUAGAGAUUGAUGUUAGCAUGUUACGCUAACAGAGCUGUAAUCUAAUAAGGUGCGUCUCAAUUUGUGUACUGCACUAUGUUGUGCUAGUUUGUGUUAUAAAUAGUGAGAGUAGUGUGUUCGCACUGAAAAGUCUAAAAGGAAAAAGUGCACUGAAUGACGCACUUACUUAACUGGAAAAAAAUACUAAUUGUGGAAUUUUGGACACUUAAUGGCCUCCUAGCAGAAGGGGAGAGGCUAUCAGACUCAGAUUUUGGAUGACAAAAUAACCAACGCAUUCUCAUCCUUUAGCG